Molecule: unclassified non-coding RNA, 425 nt
Filed under: soil metagenome
Description: partial contains 5.8S ribosomal RNA, internal transcribed spacer 2, and large subunit ribosomal RNA
Rfam family: 5.8S ribosomal RNA (bases 1-120)
Source: RNAcentral
GAUGAAGAACGUAGCGAAAUGCGAUAAGUAGUGUGAAUUGCAGAAUUCCGCGAAUCAUCGAAUCUUUGAACGCACAUUGCGCCUUCUGGUAUUCCGGAAGGCAUGCCUGUUCGAGAGUCAUUAACAACCGUUUCGAUCCCUUUCUUUCAGAAAUUACAAAGAGGAAAAGGGUUUGGUUAUGGUGGAGGAGGGAAAGGGAGCGUUUAGCCUGUAAAAAAAGAGGCUGUGUUCCGCCUCCCCCCCAAAAUUGUACAGGCGGUCGUGUGCGCCCACGCAUCGAGGUGUUGUAAAAGCUGCCACGGCACUUUUCACCUGUGCAGUGCGAGAUUGGCCAGCCGGUUUAAAAACCCCUCCAAACAAUCAAAGGUUGACCUCGGAUCAGGUAGGGAUACCCGCUGAACUUAAGCAUAUCAAUAAGCGGAGGA